GGGUCAGUAGGUUGGUCGUGCCACCGGUACGUACUGGUCUCACUGAUUCCUCCUUCCUGAAGAACCGUAAUGCCAUUAAUUUGGUGUUGCGGGGAAACAGGACUGUUACUCUGAAAAAGUUAGAGUGUUUAAAGCAAGCUAACGCUUGAAUACAUUAGCAUGGAAUAAUGAAAUAGGACGAUCGAUCCUAUUUUGUUGGUUUCUAGGAUUGACGUA
RNAcentral lists this ribosomal RNA (216 nucleotides) under Glomeromycotina sp. Its description in RNAcentral is "partial small subunit ribosomal RNA". The stretch from base 40 to 216 matches the Rfam family "Eukaryotic small subunit ribosomal RNA", at positions 686 to 864 of the family's 1831-position model. Lineage: Eukaryota; Fungi; Glomeromycota. The record is from RNAcentral.